UACAACCAUAUCAUGCUGAAACAUCAGUUCUCAUCCAAUCACUGAAGUUAAGCAACAUUGAGCCUGGUCAGUACCUAUAUGGGUGACUGUUUGGGAAUACCAGGUGCUGUAAG
This is a non-coding RNA of Acanthosepion pharaonis, 113 nucleotides long. The record is from the annotation of a GenBank genome assembly. Lineage: Eukaryota; Metazoa; Mollusca; Cephalopoda; Sepiida; Sepiidae.